AACGCGAAGAACCUUACCCGGCCUUGACAUCUACGGAAUCCUGCAGAGAUGUGGGAGUGCCUUCGGGAACCGUAAGACAGGUGCUGCAUGGCUGUCGUCAGCUCGUGUCGUGAGAUGUUGGGUUAAGUCCCGCAACGAGCGCAACCCUUGUCCUUAGUUGCCAUCAUUAAGUUGGGAACUCUAAGGAGACCGCCGGUGACAAACCGGAGGAAGGUGGGGAUGACGUCAAGUCAUCAUGGCCUUUAUGGCCGGGGCUACACACGUGCUACAAUGGCAGGUACAGAGGGAAGCCAACGCGCGAGCGGGAGCCAAUCCCAGAAAGCCUGUCGUAGUCCGGAUCGGAGUCUGCAACUCGACUCUGUGAAGUCGGAAUCGCUAGUAAUCGCAGAUCAGCAUUGCUGCGGUGAAUACGUUCCCGGGCCUUGUA
RNAcentral lists this ribosomal RNA (427 nucleotides) under uncultured Gammaproteobacteria bacterium. RNAcentral's name for it is "bacterial SSU rRNA". It matches the Rfam family "Bacterial small subunit ribosomal RNA", at positions 958 to 1385 of the family's 1533-position model. The record is from RNAcentral. Lineage: Bacteria; Pseudomonadati; Pseudomonadota; Gammaproteobacteria.